AGGAGAAGGAAUGAGAAUGGUUCGAGGGUUUCUGAUGUAGA
This 41-nucleotide small RNA is filed under the name Arabidopsis thaliana (thale cress). RNAcentral describes it as "ATSL184970". The record is from RNAcentral. Lineage: Eukaryota; Viridiplantae; Streptophyta; Magnoliopsida; Brassicales; Brassicaceae.